Alligator mississippiensis (American alligator) is the source of this 1680-nucleotide long non-coding RNA. RefSeq lists it as uncharacterized. NCBI's taxonomy places the organism in Eukaryota, Metazoa, Chordata, Crocodylia, Alligatoridae. The record is from RefSeq and is a predicted model, not a curated record. The transcript is spliced from 2 exons.
UGGAUACAACCAACUGACUUCAGGAAGAAACUGGUUUGGCGGAUUCUUCAUUACCACACUGAUGCUAAAGAAACCUAACUUGGUGCAUUGCAUGGCUUCUAGAUCUGUGCAUGGUUUUGUCAAAAUGCCUCAGCAGUUGCCUUCCUGGAGUAACCCACCUCCACCAGUACUUAACCUCAGGUCUGACAGUCCAGCUGGACUCUCCUUUUUGUGCAGUGGGAAACCCUCAGCAACAGAGAUUCCACAGACUAAAUGCUCCCCUCAACAGUGCCUGGCCCAAGGCCAGGCCAGUGGGUUUGCACAGCUGGAGCAGAUCGAAGUUUAGGGUAUCAUUCACAACUAUGUUUAGGAGGCAGAAGAGAAUCUGGCUCCUGGUGUCUCAGCUGUGUUUUUUUUUUGUUUUUUGUUUGGUUGGGUUUUUUGUUUUUUGUUUUUGUUUUUAAGGACCAACAGGAAUAAAAGGUGAUGACAAGUCAACCUUUUCUAAUCUAAACAUUGCUGGUAGGACUCUGCACUCAGCGAAGGAACAGGUCUCUUCAAAAGAGUACCACUUUUACACAGCUACUAGAAGUAAAAGAAUCCCACAACAGCUAUUUUCUAACCUUUGUAAAGAGCAAUCAGUAUGGAAAGGUCAAUUGCUUCAAUCAAUACACAAGUGGCUGUGAGCUGGACCGUGACUGAAAGAAAAUGCACAGGUGAGGAGGAGCCCAGUACUAGAGAUCUAUGAUGGAGACUUUUAUUGGCAGAAAUGACACUGCCAUCAGAUCAUUCUGUCAUGCAAGAGGGAAGUGAGCCUUUUCUGCAUUGCAUGCCAACAGGAGGGCAGUGGUGCCCAGUCACCCUGCCUGAACUCAAGAGGAGACAACAGGGGUGAGAAGAGUUUGCUGAGCAACAAACACGGCUCUCAUUGCUUCACAGAAAUUCUGAAGUGCAAGUUAAUGUUUGUGGGGACUUUCAGCUUACCCACAGUGGGUUGACAGCACAGCUGCAGGGAACUUUUGUUAUUAAAUAUGGAACUGGGAAAGAUUCCUGGGGCAUCAGAUCUUAUACAAACUCAUUUCAGAUUUAUGGAAAGUUUGUUGGAGGUUUGCAAGCUUUCUGGACAAAGGAAAGCCACUGUGACAUGCUUUACCCCCACACUCCUAGUCCUCAUGUCCCCAAAUGACAAAAAUGCAAUGUAGCUGCUAUUUUAACAACACUAGGUGGUUCUGGAUACAUACCACUAUACAAGUUACAGAGGCUGCACAUAUUAUAGAGGCUGCAUUACAAUUUUUCAGACUGUAGCCCAUGGAGCAGGAUCAAACAGAAGAGCUGCUGCUAGUCCUGUGCAUCCAGAUGCGUCAUAGAGGUAACCUCAGAUUGAAAUUUGGGGUUUGGUCAUAUUCCCAUCCCAACUCCCUGCUUUCAGCCUAUCUUUAUAGGCUCCAAACCAGGAUCCCAGGUCCAAACCCUGGCUAAACUUAGGCAAAGUCCACGGCCAAACUUUGAUUCAAGUUGGAACCUGAACUUUACUUUUCUGGCUCAACUUUACCUGGAUUGACCCAAGGCAGAAGCAGAGUUUUGAAUGCACUAGGAUCCCAUCUAGCCUGUGGUAUGGAAACCAGGUGAAACUUAUCCAUGUUAUUCAUUCAGUGUGGAAACUUCGAACAGCCCUCAGAGGUUGUAAACCACAUGAAUCAA